UCGGCAACUCUUGCCGGUUUCUUGUUCCUCAGAAACCUCAGAUCUCAACCUCACACCACUGACACCGACUUGGACGCAAACAAAGAAAACAAUGAACAACACACCUAACCUUAAAGAAUGAACAUUCAAGGUACAAAGAGGACCCUUUUCCACCUCUUUCUGUUUAUGCUUUAGAUUUUACAAAAAUGUUGUCUUUUCAUAUCGUGAAUUGGUGAGUCUACUGGUUCGUGAUGCAUUGCAAUCUGGGUUCUGGACCUUCCUUGACAUGGCUAGUGGUCGCUAUCUUUGGAGGCACUUAGUGUCUUCCUCUUUCCCAAAGCCUGAAUGAACGGUUCCCAUGGUAUAUAGUUGCUUUUAAUGGUGAUAAUAAUCAUAACUUAGCUGCAAUACACUACUGUCCAGUUCCUUAACAUGUGAUUUAGACUUAUAUGCCAGUGAUUGCUUGUUGCUUUUAUGUGUGUAGCUGUAAAUGGAAUACCAAUAUGGUGCGGUUGAUUCGCAAAUAACCAUGUUUCUUACUCACCAUUUCUCCAACGCAUGUGUUUUAGAGAUUAAUCGUUUGUGAAUGUAUAAACCGUAGGAGAACAAAUAUUUCAACAAAAGAGUAUUUUACAGAUUAGUUUGAGGUUUUGGGAUGAAAGUAUAUCUCAGUUCACGAAAAUGUUGUAAAUUAAAUACGGUUUUCUUCCCUUAGAAACUGGUCUUCUUUAUCUUAUGAUUUUUUUUAAUAAAUUAGUGACUGAAAUGAGAAUUUUAUAGAGUAGAAGACUAAAGUGAUCUACUCUUACAAGACUAGAACGGGGUUCUACAAGGAUAACCCACCAAUGACCAGUUGAUAAUGCAACAUGCUUCACCUACUCUAAGGAAAAUAUCUUAGCCUCUAAAAUUCUGGCAUCAAUAAUUUGGAACUGAUUUUAAAUGCUACAAGGAAACUUUUGCUGUGCGGAGUAUUCUGUUUAUUAGAAUUGGUUUUGGAAGAAUAUAAUCUAGAUUCCUGGUUGUACACAAUAUAUAACCUCAUUUCUGAAAGUUAGAAAUCUGUCUGGUUUUUAUAAAGAAUAAUAAUUUAUAGUCUGUGAUAAAGAUUAAUUUAUCCCAACAUUAUUGAAAUCAAUUGAUUGUGAAAAUCAGUUCUAGACAUAGAAAAUUAAUGGGGUAUACUUUUGGAUUAGUUUCUUGAUAUUGAUCAUGUAUGAUUAGUGACAAAAUUGCCUUUGCCUGUAUCAGAAGCAGGUCUUUGUAUAAAAAGAAUAGAUAAAGAAACUACACAAUUUAUUGAUUUCUCUCAGGACAGUAUGUAUGACUCUCAUUAUUCACUCAUGUCCUUAAAACAUUUGGAGCCACUACCACUACAAACCUGUUUUUAACCAGUAAACAUGCAUAUAUAUUCAAAACUAAACAUCUGCCACCUGAAUUUGAGACUAUGUAUUACAAUAAGGUCAUGGCAUUGUAAAACAGAAGAAAAAUAUACAGAUACAGCAUAAUUUAAAAUGGCAUUUCAUAUUAUUGAUGCACAAAUAAUAAGGUUUGAGAUAUUGAAAACUAAGAAAAAUUUGUAUUUGGGACUGAGAUUGUUGUUGCUGAGGUUGCUCCAACUGUUG
This 1601-nucleotide long non-coding RNA is filed under the name Phaseolus vulgaris (common bean). Its description in RNAcentral is "long non-coding RNA (PVUL_LNC001887)". The record is from RNAcentral. Lineage: Eukaryota; Viridiplantae; Streptophyta; Magnoliopsida; Fabales; Fabaceae.